CGGGCUGUUACGGGCGGGAGCUGACUGUAAAUCAGCCGCCUUAUGGCUUCGCAGGUUCGAGUCCUGCCUCCCCCACCA
RNAcentral lists this transfer RNA (78 nucleotides) under Bradyrhizobiaceae bacterium. RNAcentral's name for it is "tRNA-Tyr". The record is from RNAcentral. Lineage: Bacteria; Pseudomonadati; Pseudomonadota; Alphaproteobacteria; Hyphomicrobiales; Nitrobacteraceae.